This 29-nucleotide small RNA is filed under the name Bombyx mori (domestic silkworm). Its description in RNAcentral is "ovarian small RNA-17163". Lineage: Eukaryota; Metazoa; Arthropoda; Insecta; Lepidoptera; Bombycidae. The record is from RNAcentral.
GCUUUGGAUAUCACAGUGCACGAUGCUCU